Long non-coding RNA from Salvia splendens (bonfire salvia), 476 nucleotides. RefSeq lists it as uncharacterized. The transcript has 2 exons. The record is from RefSeq and is a predicted model, not a curated record. Lineage: Eukaryota; Viridiplantae; Streptophyta; Magnoliopsida; Lamiales; Lamiaceae.
AUCAGGCGACUUCUCGACCAAAUCAUCUCCUCUUCUUCUUCUUCCUUCUUUGCUUCCACGGAAGAUCACCUUUAUCAUCAAACUAAUCCUUGUUCCUCAGCAAUGGACGUCGAGAUACUCAUCCCCAGUCUUGAAUGCCCACAACACCAUGAAAACUUAAAAUUGACUUGUCCUUGAGCAAACUUCCUAUAUCCACAACGACGAUGGAUCGCACUAUGAAGAAGGGGAUGUGAAGAAUUAUCCGUGAAAAUACCAGCGCCUAAUAGUAAUAGUAGUGUUGUCAAAUUUUUCUGUAUUAUUUUUAAUUAUUUAUUUGCCUAUUGGUAAGUGGUACUCAUCUAUGUAUUUGAUAUACUACUAGAAUUCAACUAAGGGUGAGUAAAAUAGUCAAAAAUCCGCAGCUAUAUUUCGACCAUGAGUACCUUGAAAUGUAGUCUCAUUAUCAUUAACUAAUCAACUUUUUUGUUGUAGUUAUA